This 254-nucleotide ribosomal RNA is filed under the name uncultured bacterium. RNAcentral describes it as "partial 16S ribosomal RNA". It matches the Rfam family "Bacterial small subunit ribosomal RNA", at positions 524 to 776 of the family's 1533-position model. The record is from RNAcentral.
UACGUAGGGUGCGAGCGUUUGUCCGGAAUUAUUGGGCGUAAAGGGCUCGUAGGCGGUUUGUCGCGUCGGGAGUGAAAACCAUGGGCUUAACUCAUGGCUUGCUUCCGAUACGGGCAGACUAGAGGUAUGCAGGGGAGAACGGAAUUCCUGGUGUAGCGGUGAAAAUGCGCAGAUAUCAGGAGGAACACCGGUGGCGAAGGCGGUUCUCUGGGCAUUACCUGACGUGAGGAGCGAAAGUGUGGGGAGCGAACAGG